This 473-nucleotide ribosomal RNA is filed under the name Rhagigaster sp. M222. Its description in RNAcentral is "partial 16S ribosomal RNA". It matches the Rfam family "Bacterial large subunit ribosomal RNA", at positions 1854 to 2589 of the family's 2925-position model. The record is from RNAcentral. Lineage: Eukaryota; Metazoa; Arthropoda; Insecta; Hymenoptera; Thynnidae.
CAGUUCUGCCCACUGAACUAAGGUUUAAAGGGCUGCAGUAUACUAACUGUGCAAAGGUAGCACAAUCAAUUGUUCCUUAAUUAGGAGCCGGAAUGAAUGAGCCAAUGAAUUAAUAACUGUCUCAACUUAAUAAAUAAAACUUAAAAUUUAAGUUAAAAUGCUUAAAUUAAUUUAUUAGACGAGAAGACCCUAUAGAAUUUUACUACUAUUUUUGUUUGGAGAAUUAAUAUUUUUAUUAAAAAAUGAAUAUACUGUUUAAUUGGGAGGAUUAUUAAACUAAAAUAACUUUAACUUAUUCAAAACAAAAAUUAUUGAAUUAAUGAUUUUUAAAUAAUUAAAAGAUUAAAUUACCUUAGGGAUAACAGCGUAAUAUUUCUGGAAAGUUCAUAUUUAUAGAAGUGUUUGCGACCUCGAUGUUGAAUUAAGAUAAAAUUUAAUAGCAGAAAAUUAAAAUUUAAGUCUGUUCGACUUUU